UACGAAGGGGGCUAGCGUUGUUCGGAAUUACUGGGCGUAAAGGGCGCGUAGGCGGCGUGUCAAGUCAGGCGUGAAAGCCCCGGGCUCAACCUGGGAACCGCGCUUGAGACUGGCAUGCUCGAGUUCGGGAGAGGAUGGUGGAAUUCCCAGUGUAGAGGUGAAAUUCGUAGAUAUUGGGAGGAACACCGGUGGCGAAGGCGGCCAUCUGGACGGCUAUUGACGCUGAGACGCGAAAGCAUGGGGAGCAAACAGG
RNAcentral lists this ribosomal RNA (253 nucleotides) under uncultured bacterium. RNAcentral's name for it is "partial 16S ribosomal RNA". It matches the Rfam family "Bacterial small subunit ribosomal RNA", at positions 524 to 776 of the family's 1533-position model. The record is from RNAcentral.